CGCCUUAUUCUCCAACACAACUUCUCAGUCACCAUAAUUCUCCCGACGGAUGGACCUCUCUCUAAGGCACAAACCACCUUUCUUGCUGCUCUUCCUGCUGCCAUCGAUUAUAUUCUUCUUCCUCCUGUUAACUUCGACGACUUAGCUGACGACGUUAGGAUUGAGACGCGUAUUUCCCUCACCGUCACUCGCUCUCUUCCUUCCCUUCGUGUUGCGCUCAAGUCUUUGGUUGACACCACCAAGUUGCCCGCUCUCGUGGUCGAUCUUUUCGGCACGGAUGCCUUUGAUGUAGCCAAUGAAUUCAAGCUCCCGCCAUAUAUCUUCUUCCCUUCCACCGCCACGGCUUUAGCGUUUUUCUCCUACCUGCCUAAGCUUCAUGAGAUGGUUGCAUGUGAAUUUAGAGACUUGCCCGGGCCAAUUCGAGUCCCGGGUUGUGUACCAAUUCACGGGAGGGAUCUCCUCGACCCGGCUCAGGACCGAAAGAACGACGCCUACAAGUGGCUGCUUCACCACGCGAGGAGGUACAGCCUGGCCGAGGGAAUCCUGGUGAACAGCUUCAAGGACUUGGAGCCUGGACCUUUAAAAGCGUUGCAGGAGCAAGAACCGGGUAAGCCACCGGUUUAUCCGGUUGGACCACUUAUACAGAUGGGCUCAGGGGACAGGAGGGGGGAGGAGUCGGAAUGCUUGAAAUGGUUGGAUGAUCAGCCCAGCGGGUCCGUUCUGUACAUUUCGUUUGGGAGCGGCGGGACCCUCUCCCAUAAUCAGCUAAUCGAGCUAGCAUUUGGAUUGGAGAUGAGCGAGCAAAGAUUCUUGUGG
This 816-nucleotide long non-coding RNA is filed under the name Coffea arabica (coffee). RNAcentral's name for it is "long non-coding RNA (CARA_LNC002043)". Lineage: Eukaryota; Viridiplantae; Streptophyta; Magnoliopsida; Gentianales; Rubiaceae. The record is from RNAcentral.